GACGAACGCUGGCGGCGCGCCUAACACAUGCAAGUCGAACGAGCGAGCGAGAGCUUGCUUUCUCCAGCGAGUGGCGAACGGGUGAGUAACGCGUGAGGAACCUGCCUCAAAGAGGGGGACAACAGUUGGAAACGACUGCUAAUACCGCAUAAGCCCACGACCCGGCAUCGGGUAGAGGGAAAAGGAGCAAUCCGCUUUGAGAUGGCCUCGCGUCCGAUUAGCUAGUUGGUGGGGUAACGGCCCACCAAUGCGACGAUCGGUAGCCGGACUGGGAGGUUGGACGGCCACAUUCGGACUGAGACACGGCCCAGACUCCUACGGGAGGCAGGAGUGGGGAAUAUUGCACAGUGGGGGAAACCCUGAUGCAGCGACGCCGCGUGGAGGAAGAAGGUAUUCGGAUUGUAAACUCCUGUUGUCGAGGAAGAUAAUGACGGUACUCAACAAGGAAGUGACGGCUAACUACGUG
This 466-nucleotide ribosomal RNA is filed under the name uncultured bacterium. RNAcentral describes it as "partial 16S ribosomal RNA". It matches the Rfam family "Bacterial small subunit ribosomal RNA", at positions 28 to 507 of the family's 1533-position model. The record is from RNAcentral.